This 1112-nucleotide long non-coding RNA is filed under the name Sitophilus oryzae (rice weevil). RNAcentral describes it as "uncharacterized LOC115889801". Lineage: Eukaryota; Metazoa; Arthropoda; Insecta; Coleoptera; Curculionidae. The record is from RNAcentral.
GGCAUUCCAACGACCUGUCAAAAUCGAUCCAAUAUGGCCGCUGGGGGCACACAUGGCUGUAUUUACAUUAGUCCUUGUGGUAGUCAAACCAGAGCUAAGUUAUAUUUAAUACAUUUUAUAGUGUUUUUCAGUUCAUAUUGUGGCUCAGUAGUUAGCUGUUAACACAUUUAUAGUAAAUUUUGAUAGCCAGGAUAUAAAUUCUGCGAGAAACAUAAUAUUUGAAGACGUUUUGUUACAUGCCGAUUACGUGUCGGAAGUCGAGCAAAUAAAGACAAUUUAUAUUUUUAUUGUGUCCCUACGACCACAAAUCACCGCUUCUUAACAGAACAAAAUUAAUUGUCCAAGAAACGUCGUUCUCUUUGGAUGGCAGCUAUAAAAAGGGAUGAUUUAAUGUGGUCUAUAAUAAAAAAUCAGAGGGUGUGUAGCAAACACUUUCUAACAGGAAAACCUGUUAGUUUAGAAGAUGAAAAUCAUCCAGACUGAGUUGGUUCCGUCACAAGACAUGGGUCAUAAUUGUACAAAUCUGAGAAAAAGACAGGAUGAUAUUGAGAGAAAACUAAGGGCAGACUAAAGAAGAAAAGUACAAUAUGAAGCCAUUCUUAACACGUCUGAAGCAGAACCUCAUUGUGUGAUUGAAACAGAUGUUCGAAUCAACAGUUUUGGUAUACAAACAUAUAUCACGAUGGAUGACUUAUGCAACAAAUUUGAGCAGCUUAGUUUUGCAACAUUUAAAAUUAGUAAUUUCACCUGAUUGCAGAUUACAUACCAUUUACACAAACGACAGCUCUAAGCAAGUUUAAAAGAUUUGGGUUAUCGUUUUAAAGUGUCUUUUGCUACAGCCUCAACAACAUUUAAAGUAAUCAAGAAUGAUUUAUACAAAAGGUAUAAAACCUUAUAAAUAGAAUGGUCCAAUCCAUCUACGAUGCUCUAAAAAAUAUGACAUAUUGUUUUAAAAUGGCAUUUAGGAAUCGCAUUGUAUUAUUGAUUGUUACUCAAAUAUUUAUUUAUUUAUAACAUUAUAUUGUAAUUCUUAUUUUCACGAGUGUAAAUUACAAAAUUAGCUUAUUGUUUCUAUAUCGUAAUAAACGAAUAUGUACUAUAUACUGUUAUAC